This is a long non-coding RNA of Apis cerana (Asiatic honeybee), 942 nucleotides long. RefSeq lists it as uncharacterized. NCBI's taxonomy places the organism in Eukaryota, Metazoa, Arthropoda, Insecta, Hymenoptera, Apidae. The record is from RefSeq and is a predicted model, not a curated record.
AUACCUUGAACGAAAAUUCAUUUAGAAAGCACAUAAGAUAGGAUCAGAGGUGUAACUUUGAGAUAAAAGUAGGAUGAUGGUGUGAGGAUAAUUGUGGUUUUUUAUCGUUUUGAGUUUGGCAAGUGAUGUGGAUGAAAAUUAAACAGCUACGAGUCCGAAAACAGAUUUGAAUCGAUCGAUACAAAUGGUACAUGAUCGUGUCUCUCUUCGCAGAAAAUCUCCUGUAAAGUUUAAACGAUUUCGUUUCAACACUAGGAGAAGAUCAGGAUUACUAUUGGUAUUCGAGCAUAGGCGAAGCGUUUGCCCACUCUAUUCCCGUACGGUAAAAUUUGCCGCGGUAAUCUCAUUUCGUUUCGACGUGCCUUGAUUCGGUAAUGCAACGUACUCACCUGUCUAUGGAUAUGGCGCAUAACGAUAGUAUGCUGGCAGUACAGAGAAGAAUGUCGAGGGAGACCCACGAGUCGCAGAGCAUCGGGCCCAACUCCCAGCACGAAAAAAAGAAUUCACGCAAUCGAGCCUGUAUGUAUAAAAAUAAAUAAAAAAAAGUUUGAACAUAAGUAAGAAAAAAUAUGUAUUUCGACGAGACGUUCAGGAAUAGAUACAGGAAUAGAUCGAAUAGACGAAGAAAUUGAUUCGACAAAUUUGGAAAAAUCUAAUUCCUCUGGCAUUAACGAUGUAAACAUAACCUCAAAAUUUAAAUAUUGAGAUAAAACAAUAAAGUGAUAAAUUACACUAAUGUUUAGAGACAAAAAGAAAACUAUGUAUCGAGACUAAUUAUCGUGCCAUUGUUCUAUUUUAAUUGUUGUUUUGCAAUUAAAUUUUUUACAUUGUUAAAAAACACGUUUCAUAAUCAUUCUUCAUCUUUCGACUAAAUAUAUUCUCACGUUAAUUAUUGUUCGAACAAUUACGUUUUUUUAUCAAUAAAUAUUUUUCUGUAUCUUA